Molecule: non-coding RNA, 30 nt
Filed under: Homo sapiens (human)
Lineage: Eukaryota; Metazoa; Chordata; Mammalia; Primates; Hominidae
Source: RNAcentral
GAGGUCAUGUAGGGGCCUUCACAGAUGGGA